RNAcentral lists this ribosomal RNA (1532 nucleotides) under uncultured bacterium. RNAcentral's name for it is "bacterial SSU rRNA". It matches the Rfam family "Bacterial small subunit ribosomal RNA". The record is from RNAcentral.
UUUAGCGGCCGCGAAUUCGCCCUUAGAGUUUGAUCAUGGCUCAGGAUGAACGUUGGCGGUGUGCCUAAUACAUGCAAGUCGAACGAAGAGCACGAAGUAGCAAUACAUUGUGUUUCUUAGUGGCGAACGGGUGAGUAACGCGUUGGUAACCUGCCCCGAAGUGGGGGAUAACAGUUCGAAAGGACUGCUAAUACCCCAUGUUAUCAUAGAGAUUAGAUGCUCAAUGAUCAAAGGAUUUAUUCGCUUCGGGAGGGGCCUGCGUCCCAUCAGCUAGUUGGUAGGGUAAUGGCCUACCAAGGCUAUGACGGGUAGGGGACCUGAGAGGGUGGCCCCCCACAAUGGAACUGAAACACGGUCCAUACACCUACGGGUGGCAGCAGUAGGGAAUAUUGGUAAUGGGCGAAAGCCUGAACCAGCAACACCGCGUGUGCGAUGAAGGCCUUCGGGUUGUAAAGCACUUUUCGGGAGGAUGAGAAAGGACAGUACUCCUGGAAUAAGUCUCGGCUAACUACGUGCCAGCAGCCGCGGUAAAACGUAGGAGGCGAACGUUAUCCGGAUUUACUGGGCGUAAAGCGCGUGCAGGUGGUUUGGUAAGUUGGGCGUGAAAGCUCCCGGCUCAACUGGGAGAGGUCGUUCAAGACUGCCGGACUAGAGGAUGGUAGAGGGAGGUGGAAUUCCGGGUGUAGCGGUGGAAUGCGCAGAUAUCCGGAGGAACACCAGUGGCGAAGGCGGCCUCCUGGACCACUCCUGACACUCAGACGCGAAAGCUAGGGUAGCAAACGGGAUUAGAGACCCCGGUAGUCCUAGCCGUAAACGAUGUAGACUUGGUGUCGGUGGUUUAAUAUCCAUCGGUAUCGAAGCUAACGCGAUAAGUCUACCGCCUGGGGACUACGGCCGCAAGGUUAAAACUCAAAGGAAUUGACGGGACCCCGCACAAGCAGCGGAGCGUGUGGUUUAAUUCGUUGCUACACGAAGAACCUUACCUGGGUUUGACAUAAGGGUGGUAGGGAUCCGAAAGGUGACCGACCCUUCGGGGAGCCUUUACAGGUGUUGCAUGGCUGUCGUCAGCUCGUGUCGUGAGAUGUUCGGUUAAGUCCGCAAACGAGCGCAACCCUCGCUGUGUGUUAUAUGUGUCACACGGGACUGCUGGUAUUAAGCCGGAGGAAGGAGAGGAUGACGCCAAGUCAGCAUGACCUUUAUAUCCAGGGCUACACACACGCUACAAUGGUCAGUACAAUGGGUCGCCAAGCCGUGAGGCGGAGCCAAUCCUAAAAAGCUGGCCUCAGUUCAGAUUGCAGUCUGCAACUCGACUGCAUGAAGUUGGAGUUGCUAGUAACCGCAGGUCAGCAAUACUGCGGUGAAUACGUUCCCGGGGUUUGUACACACCGCCCGUCACGUCAUGGAAGCUGGCAACACCCGAAAGCGGUAUCCUAACCCGCAAGGGAGGGAGCCGUCUAAGGUGAGGUUGGUGACUGGGACGAAGUCGUAACAAGGUAAAGGGCGAAUUCGUUUAAACCUGCAGGACUAGUCCC